This is a non-coding RNA of Callithrix jacchus (white-tufted-ear marmoset), 2383 nucleotides long. The record is from RefSeq and is a predicted model, not a curated record. Lineage: Eukaryota; Metazoa; Chordata; Mammalia; Primates; Cebidae.
GCUUAAUGGCCUGGAGCAGCCCCAGGGCCAGGCAGAACACGAAGGCCAGGUAAAAGGGCCGCGCCCAGCGCGUCUCCAACCAGGAGAAUUCCAUGGCUCUGCGCAGCCGCGAACGCCCGCGGUCUCCAGACACAGGAGACAAGAAAUGAAGGCCAUUGAGAAGCUGCUUCAAUCCUACACACACCCCAAAGAAAACCAUACAUUUGUCUACAAACAGGGCAGUGCAAGUUCAUCUGCAUCUCAUUAUUCAGCUGCAAGAAUAAGCAGUCUGACACUUGGUUUGGUCUGGGAACAAAUUUGGUGAGCCAGCCAGGAGCCACCAGGAUGGUGCUGUCUUCAACAUUCAGCAGCAUGUGAUGAAACAAUCUUCAGGAGGUUCUGAGCAGCUUCUGGGAGAAAAGGCAUACAUAUUUAUUUGGCAUGAAUACACAAGAGGCUUCAGAAUGAAGACCCAAAGAUGCAGAAAAAAAUGUCCACUUUUGUGCUUGGUUCAACAAGGUAUAAACGGUAAUGUGGAGCUAUAACUGGACAAAAAAGGCUAGGAUCAAAUGCUAACAGUCUGAGUGGGGAAAUCCAGCAAGGCCUGUCUGCUUAGAUUCUUCUUGGCUUCUGUGAGCAUGCAUUCCUUCCUUCUGGGCAGGGGGAAGACAUUUUCUCUGGAAUGGGAUAACCUACAAGCAAACAAGGUAGGUCAGAUAAUUUCGUUCUUUUUUCUUUUUUUAAAUUAAACCCUUUAUUGUUUAUAUAUUGCAUAGAAAACAGGUUGUUACAUCAAAAGGUCACACAGACAUGAUCCUAUUAUAAAAGCUCAGCCCUUUCUGUGGCUGAAAGGAAUGAGAAUAUCUUGGCUUUCAAAGUGGGCAAAGAUUUGGUUUGGACUUCUCUCCAAAAGACAGCAUGUCUCAGCAGUCCUGAUGCCAGUAGCCACAGCCUGGGUCAUUGCUUUUAGUGAGGCCCAGCAGGCGCAACACAAAUUUCUUUUUGUUUGUUUUUUUUUUUAAAGAGACAAAGAAAGAGAAAAAGAAAGUGGGAGAGAGAACAGGAGUCUUGCUUAUUGCCCGGGCUGGAAUGCAAUCUAAAAAGAGGUAUUAAAAAUCUCUUUUAUGCCAAUAAUUGUGCUUAACAGCAGAGACAGGAAGGAAUACGGGAAGAAAGUAACAAACAACAGCCAACCAAUAUUUUGAUUAAGUCUGUGAAAUGCUAUGCAAAUGCUGAAGAGUGAUAUACUUCCAAUUAUGUGGUCACUUUCAAAAUAGGUGUAAUGUGAUACUGAGAAAAAUGUAUGUUCUGUGGACCUGGGGUGAAGAAUUCUAUAAAUAUUCACUGAGUUUACUUGUUCCAGGUCUGAGUUCAAAUCAUAGAUGUCCCUGUUAAUUUUCUAUCUCAUUUAUCCAUCAAAUAUUAACAAUGUGGUGUCAAAGUCUCCCGCUAUUAUUGUGCAGGAGUCCAAGUCUCUUUAUAAGUCAUUAAGAACUUGUCUUAUGUAUCUGAGUGCUCCUAUAUUGGGUGCAUAUAUAUUUAUGAUCAUUGACUGCUGUUGUUGCAUUGAUCUUUUUACCAUUAUGUAAUGUCCUUCGUUUCUUUUAGUCUGUGUUACUAUUAAAGUCUAUUUUGUCAGAGACGAAAGUUACAAUUCCUGUUGUUGUUGUUGUUGUUUUCUCUCCAUUUGAUUGGUGAGUCUUCCUCCAAUCCUUUGUUUUGAGUCUUUGUGUGUCCUUGCUUAUGAGAUGGAUCUGGAUACAGUGUACCAAUGGGUUUUGACUUUUUAUUCAAUUUGCCUGUCUGUGUCUUUGAUUGGGGCAUUUAAUCCAUUUAAAUUUAGAAUUAAUAAUGAUAUUUGUUAGUUUAAUAUUGUCAUUUAAUGCUAGCUGGCUAUUUUGCCCAUUAGUUGAUAUAGAUUCUUCAUUAUAGAGAUACUCUUUACCUUUUGGUAAGUUUUUGGGAUGACUGAUACUGAUUGUUUCUUUCUGUGUGUAGUGCUUCUUUUAGAAGCUCUUGUAAAGCAGGACUGGUGGUGAUUAAAUCUCUGAGUGCUUGCUUGUUCGUGAAAAAUUUUAUUUUUCCUUCAUUUAUGAAGCUUAAUUUGGCUGGAUAUGAGAUUCUGGGUUGAAAGUUCUUUUCUUUGAGGAUAUUGAAUAUUGACUCUUACUCUCUUCUAGUUUGUAGGGUUUCUGCUGAGAAAUCUGCUGUAAGUCUGAUAGGCUUCCCUUUAUGGGUAACGUGACCUUUCUCUCUAGCUGCCCUUAGAAUGUUCUCCUUUAUUUCAACCCUGGUGAAUCUAGGGAUUAUGUGUCUUGGGGUUGCUCUACUUAAGAAAUAUCUUUGUGGUGUUCUCUGUAUUACCUGGAGUUGAGUAUUGUCCUGCCUUACUAGGUUAGGAAAG